RNAcentral lists this small RNA (563 nucleotides) under Pongo abelii (Sumatran orangutan). Its description in RNAcentral is "processed transcript". The record is from RNAcentral. Lineage: Eukaryota; Metazoa; Chordata; Mammalia; Primates; Hominidae.
ACGUUUUCAUUUUUAGCCCAGUGACUGCCUGAUGUUCAUAGUGUUAUCAUCGUCAUUAUCAUCUCCAUUAUUAUUACUUUGAAUUUUUAUUGUGGGUUUUUUUGGAUCAUGAAUUCAAUAUUAAAUAAUUCAUUGUCUUGGAAAACCCAUUGUGGAUCUACUUUCUAACUUUAAACUUAUAUAUGAUUUUGUAUUAUACUAUAUAUUUUUUUCUUUGUAUCAGAACAGAGACGCCAACGACAAGAAUGAAAGUCUCACAGCUUUGGAUGCCCUAAUCUGUAAUAAAAGCUUUCUUGUUACUGUCAUCCACACCCUUGAAAAGCAGAAGAACUUUUCUGUGAAGGACAGGUGUCUGUUUGCCUCCUUCCUAACCAUUGCACUGCAAACCAAGCUGGUCUACCUGACCAGCAUCCUAGAGGUGCUGACCAGGGACUUGAUGGAACAGUGUAGUAACAUGCAGCCGAAACUCAUGCUGAGACGCACGGAGUCCGUGGUGGAAAAACUUCUCACAAACUGGAUGUCCGUCUGCCUUUCUGGUUUUCUCCGGGAGACUGUUGGAGAGC